This 250-nucleotide ribosomal RNA is filed under the name uncultured bacterium. RNAcentral's name for it is "partial 16S ribosomal RNA". It matches the Rfam family "Bacterial small subunit ribosomal RNA", at positions 524 to 773 of the family's 1533-position model. The record is from RNAcentral.
UACAGAGGGUGCAAGCGUUAAUCGGAAUUAUUGGGCGUAAAGCGCACGUAGGUGGAUUGAUAAGUUGGAUGUGAAAGCCCUGGGCUCAACCUGGGAAUUGCAUUCAAGACUGUCAGUCUAGAGUAUGGGAGAGGGAAGUGGAAUUUCUGGUGUAGCGGUGAAAUGCGUAGAUAUCAGAAGGAACAUCAGUGGCGAAGGCGACUUCCUGGCCUAAUACUGACACUAAGGUGCGAAAGCGUGGGGAGCAAAC